GACGAACGCUGGCGGCGUGCUUAACACAUGCAAGUCGAACGAAGAGCGAUGGAAGCUUGCUUCUAUCAAUCUUAGUGGCGAACGGGUGAGUAACGCGUAAUCAACCUGCCCUUCAGAGGGGGACAACAGUUGGAAACGACUGCUAAUACCGCAUACGAUCUAAUCUCGGCAUCGAGGAUAGAUGAAAGGUGGCCUCUACAUGUAAGCUAUCACUGAAAGGAGGGGAUUGCGUCUGAUUAGCUAGUUGGAGGGGUAACGGCCCACCAAGGCGAUGAUCAGUAGCCGGUCUGAGAGGAUGAACGGCCACAUUGGGACUGAGACACGGCCCAGACUCCUACGGGAGGCAGCAGUGGGGAAUCUUCCGCAAUGGACGAAAGUCUGACGGAGCAACGCCGCGUGAGUGAUGAC
RNAcentral lists this ribosomal RNA (408 nucleotides) under Veillonella parvula. RNAcentral describes it as "bacterial SSU rRNA". It matches the Rfam family "Bacterial small subunit ribosomal RNA", at positions 28 to 412 of the family's 1533-position model. The record is from RNAcentral. Lineage: Bacteria; Bacillati; Bacillota; Negativicutes; Veillonellales; Veillonellaceae.